AUUGAACGCUGGCGGAAAGCUUUACACAUGCAAGUCGAACGGCAGCACGGACUUCGGUCUGGUGGCGAGUGGCGAACGGGUGAGUAAUGUAUCGGAACGUGCCCAGUCGUGGGGGAUAACGUAGUGAAAAUUACGCUAAUACCGCAUACGAUCUAUGGAUGAAAGCGGGGGAUCGCAAGACCUCGCGCGAUUGGAGCGGCCGAUAUCAGAUUAGGUAGUUGGUGGGGUAAAGGCCCACCAAGCCAACGAUCUGUAGCUGGUCUGAGAGUACGACCGGCCACACUGAAACUGAGACACGGUCCAAACUCAGACGGGAGGCAGCAAUGGGAAAUUUUGAACGAUGGGCGAAAGCCUGAUCCAGCCAUUCCGCGUGCAGGAUGAAGGCCAUUGGGUUGUAAACUGCUUUUGUACAGAACGAAAAGGUUUCUACUAAUACUAGGAGCUCAUGACGGUACUGUAAGAAUAAGCACCGGCUAACUACGUGCCAGCAGCCGCCGUAA
This 500-nucleotide ribosomal RNA is filed under the name uncultured bacterium. Its description in RNAcentral is "partial 16S ribosomal RNA". It matches the Rfam family "Bacterial small subunit ribosomal RNA", at positions 30 to 523 of the family's 1533-position model. The record is from RNAcentral.